This 2934-nucleotide ribosomal RNA is filed under the name Klebsiella aerogenes. RNAcentral's name for it is "23S ribosomal RNA". It matches the Rfam family "Bacterial large subunit ribosomal RNA". The record is from RNAcentral. Lineage: Bacteria; Pseudomonadati; Pseudomonadota; Gammaproteobacteria; Enterobacterales; Enterobacteriaceae.
GGGUUGUGAGGUUAAGCGACUAAGCGUACACGGUGGAUGCCCUGGCAGUCAGAGGCGAUGAAGGACGUGCUAAUCUGCGAAAAGCGUCGGUAAGGUGAUAUGAACCGUUACAGCCGGCGAUGUCCGAAUGGGGAAACCCAGUGCAAUUCGUUGCACUAUCGUUAACUGAAUACAUAGGUUAACGAGGCGAACCGGGGGAACUGAAACAUCUAAGUACCCCGAGGAAAAGAAAUCAACCGAGAUUCCCCCAGUAGCGGCGAGCGAACGGGGAGCAGCCCAGAGUCUGAAUCAGCUUGUGUGUUAGUGGAACGGUCUGGAAAGUCCGACGGUACAGGGUGAUAGUCCCGUACACCAAAAUGCACAGGCUGUGAACUCGAAGAGUAGGGCGGGACACGUGGUAUCCUGUCUGAAUAUGGGGGGACCAUCCUCCAAGGCUAAAUACUCCUGACUGACCGAUAGUGAACCAGUACCGUGAGGGAAAGGCGAAAAGAACCCCGGCGAGGGGAGUGAAAAAGAACCUGAAACCGUGUACGUACAAGCAGUGGGAGCACCCUUUAGGGUGUGACUGCGUACCUUUUGUAUAAUGGGUCAGCGACUUAUAUUCUGUAGCAAGGUUAACCGUAUAGGGGAGCCGCAGGGAAACCGAGUCUUAACUGGGCGUUAAGUUGCAGGGUAUAGACCCGAAACCCGGUGAUCUAGCCAUGGGCAGGUUGAAGGUUGGGUAACACUAACUGGAGGACCGAACCGACUAAUGUUGAAAAAUUAGCGGAUGACUUGUGGCUGGGGGUGAAAGGCCAAUCAAACCGGGAGAUAGCUGGUUCUCCCCGAAAGCUAUUUAGGUAGCGCCUCGUGAACUCAUCUUCGGGGGUAGAGCACUGUUUCGGCUAGGGGGUCAUCCCGACUUACCAACCCGAUGCAAACUACGAAUACCGAAGAAUGUUAUCACGGGAGACACACGGCGGGUGCUAACGUCCGUCGUGAAGAGGGAAACAACCCAGACCGCCAGCUAAGGUCCCAAAGUCACAGUUAAGUGGGAAACGAUGUGGGAAGGCACAGACAGCCAGGAUGUUGGCUUAGAAGCAGCCAUCAUUUAAAGAAAGCGUAAUAGCUCACUGGUCGAGUCGGCCUGCGCGGAAGAUGUAACGGGGCUAAACUGUGCACCGAAGCUGCGGCAGCGACACUAUGUGUUGUUGGGUAGGGGAGCGUUCUGUAAGCCUGCGAAGGUGGCCUGUGAGGGUUGCUGGAGGUAUCAGAAGUGCGAAUGCUGACAUAAGUAACGAUAAUGCGGGUGAAAAGCCCGCACGCCGGAAGACCAAGGGUUCCUGUCCAACGUUAAUCGGGGCAGGGUGAGUCGACCCCUAAGGCGAGGCCGAAAGGCGUAGUCGAUGGGAAACAGGUUAAUAUUCCUGUACUUGGUGUUACUGCGAAGGGGGGACGGAGAAGGCUAUGUUAGCCGGGCGACGGUUGUCCCGGUUUAAGCAUGUAGGCGGAGGUUCCAGGUAAAUCCGGUACCUUAUUAACGCUGAGGUGUGAUGACGAGGCACUACGGUGCUGAAGUAACAAAUGCCCUGCUUCCAGGAAAAGCCUCUAAGCAUCAGGUAACAUUAAAUCGUACCCCAAACCGACACAGGUGGUCAGGUAGAGAAUACCAAGGCGCUUGAGAGAACUCGGGUGAAGGAACUAGGCAAAAUGGUGCCGUAACUUCGGGAGAAGGCACGCUGAUAUGUAGGUGAAGUCCCUGCGGAUGGAGCUGAAAUCAGUCGAAGAUACCAGCUGGCUGCAACUGUUUAUUAAAAACACAGCACUGUGCAAACACGAAAGUGGACGUAUACGGUGUGACGCCUGCCCGGUGCCGGAAGGUUAAUUGAUGGGGUUAUCCGUAAGGAGAAGCUCUUGAUCGAAGCCCCGGUAAACGGCGGCCGUAACUAUAACGGUCCUAAGGUAGCGAAAUUCCUUGUCGGGUAAGUUCCGACCUGCACGAAUGGCGUAAUGAUGGCCAGGCUGUCUCCACCCGAGACUCAGUGAAAUUGAACUCGCUGUGAAGAUGCAGUGUACCCGCGGCAAGACGGAAAGACCCCGUGAACCUUUACUAUAGCUUGACACUGAACAUUGAGCCUUGAUGUGUAGGAUAGGUGGGAGGCUUUGAAGCGUGGACGCCAGUCUGCGUGGAGCCAACCUUGAAAUACCACCCUUUAAUGUUUGAUGUUCUAACGUUGGCCCCUAAUCGGGGUUGCGGACAGUGUCUGGUGGGUAGUUUGACUGGGGCGGUCUCCUCCCAAAGAGUAACGGAGGAGCACGAAGGUUAGCUAAUCCUGGUCGGACAUCAGGAGGUUAGUGCAAUGGCAUAAGCUAGCUUGACUGCGAGCGUGACGGCGCGAGCAGGUGCGAAAGCAGGUCAUAGUGAUCCGGUGGUUCUGAAUGGAAGGGCCAUCGCUCAACGGAUAAAAGGUACUCCGGGGAUAACAGGCUGAUACCGCCCAAGAGUUCAUAUCGACGGCGGUGUUUGGCACCUCGAUGUCGGCUCAUCACAUCCUGGGGCUGAAGUAGGUCCCAAGGGUAUGGCUGUUCGCCAUUUAAAGUGGUACGCGAGCUGGGUUUAGAACGUCGUGAGACAGUUCGGUCCCUAUCUGCCGUGGGCGCUGGAGAAUUGAGGGGGGCUGCUCCUAGUACGAGAGGACCGGAGUGGACGCAUCACUGGUGUUCGGGUUGUCAUGCCAAUGGCAUUGCCCGGUAGCUAAAUGCGGAAGAGAUAAGUGCUGAAAGCAUCUAAGCACGAAACUUGCCCCGAGAUGAGUUCUCCCUGAGACUUUAAGUCUCCUGAAGGAACGUUAAAGACGAUGACGUUGAUAGGUCGGGUGUGUAAGCGUAGCGAUACGUUGAGCUAACCGAUACUAAUGAACCGUGAGGCUUAACCUUACAACGCCGAAGGUGUUU